CAGUCGCCGCGGUAAUACAGAGGGUGCAAGCGUUAAUCGGAAUUACUGGGCGUAAAGCGCGCGUAGGUGGUUUGUUAAGUUGGAUGUGAAAUCCCCGGGCUCAACCUGGGAACUGUAUCCAAAACUGGCAAGCUAGAGUAUGGUAGAGGGUGGUGGAAUUUCCUGUGUAGCGGUGAAAUGCGUAGAUUUAGGAAGGAACACCAGUGGCGAAGGCGACCACCUGGACUGAUACUGACACUGAGGUGCGAAAGCGUGGGGAGCAAACAGGAUUAGAGACCCCCGUAGUCCCUGUCUCUUAUAC
This 301-nucleotide ribosomal RNA is filed under the name uncultured bacterium. RNAcentral's name for it is "partial 16S ribosomal RNA". It matches the Rfam family "Bacterial small subunit ribosomal RNA", at positions 509 to 807 of the family's 1533-position model. The record is from RNAcentral.